This is a small RNA of 174 nucleotides. It matches the Rfam family "caulobacter sRNA CC2171". The record is from Rfam.
UAACAACUGAAAGGAGGUGAUCCAGUGUCUCAUUGUCAUCAACCGCUGGUGCAAGGCGGCCGGACCUGGACUUCUCUUGGCUGGGGUUCUCUGUCCGCGUGAGUUUUCGCACCUUUGAUCCGGUUCGCUGGAUCGCGGUUCGACAAUGGAAGGGCCGUCCGCAAGGGCGGCCCU